AUCGAUGAAGAACGCAGCGAAAUGCGAUAAGUAAUGUGAAUUGCAGAAUUCAGUGAAUCAUCGAAUCUUUGAACGCACAUUGCGCCCCUUGGUAUUCCGGGGGGCAUGCCUGUUCGAGCGUCAUUUCAACCCUCAAGCCUAGCUUGGUCUUGGGCUCUGCCGGCAACGGCUUGCCUUAAAAUCAGUGGCGGUGCCAUCGAGCUCUACGCGUAGUAAUUAUACCCUCGCUUCUGAGUCUCGGCGGUCGCUUGCCAGCAACCCCCAAUUUUCUAUGGUUGACCUCGGAUCAGGUAGGGAUACCCGCUGAACUUAAGCAUAUCAAUAAGCGGAGGAAAAGAAACCAACAGGGAUUACCUCAGUAACGGCGAGUGAAGCGGUAACAGCUCAAAUUUGAAAUCUGGCUCUUUCAGGGUCCGAGUUGUAAUUUGUAGAAGAUGCUUCGGGUGUGGCUCCGGUCUAAGUUCCUUGGAACAGGACGUCAUAGAGGGUGAGAAUCCCGUAUGUGACUGGCUGCCUCCGCCCAUGUGAAGCUCUUUCGACGAGUCGAGUUGUUUGGGAAUGCAGCUCAAAAUGGGUGGUAAAUUUCAUCUAAAGCUAAAUAUUGGCCAGAGACCGAUAGCGCACAAGUAGAGUGAUCGAAAGAUGAAAAGCACUUUGGAAAGAGAGUUAAACAGUACGUGAAAUUGUUGAAAGGGAAGCGCUUGCAAUCAGACUUGCACGCUGCCGAUCAUCUGGGGUUCUCUCCAGUGCACUCGGUUGCGUUCAGGCCAGCAUCGGUUUGGGUGGUUGGAUAAAGGCCUUGGGAAUGUAGCUUCUUUCGGGGAGUGUUAUAGCCCUCGGUGCAAUGCAGCCUAUCCGGACCGAGGACCGCGCUUCGGCUAGGAUGCUGGCGUAAUGGUUGUAAGCGACCCGUCUUGAAACACGG
RNAcentral lists this ribosomal RNA (925 nucleotides) under uncultured fungus. RNAcentral's name for it is "eukaryotic LSU rRNA". The stretch from base 277 to 925 matches the Rfam family "Eukaryotic large subunit ribosomal RNA", at positions 1 to 664 of the family's 3401-position model. The record is from RNAcentral. Lineage: Eukaryota; Fungi.